GCCGAAGUGGUGGAAUUGGUAGACACGCCAGGUUCAGGGUCUGGUACUCGCAAGGGUGUGGGAGUUCGAGUCUCCCCUUCGGCACCA
RNAcentral lists this transfer RNA (87 nucleotides) under Desulfovibrio sp. Its description in RNAcentral is "tRNA-Leu". It matches the Rfam family "tRNA". From Rfam's summary of the family: Transfer RNA (tRNA) molecules are approximately 80 nucleotides in length. Lineage: Bacteria; Pseudomonadati; Thermodesulfobacteriota; Desulfovibrionia; Desulfovibrionales; Desulfovibrionaceae. The record is from RNAcentral.